UGCGGAAGGAUCAUUGUCGAGACCCGAGGGAAUGAUUUUAGGACCUGUCAAGCAAACGUGCCGUGUCGGCGGGGUGCAAGGGAUGGGAGCACUCACUUGUCCCCCUCCUCGCCGUCCCCUUCGAACCUAUGAUGUCCCUGAACAAAUCCGGCAAGGCCCGUGCCAAGGACCUUCGUCGUUGCGGGAAAGUUGUAUCAAUACGACUCUCGGCAACGGAUAUCUAGGCUCUCGCAUCGAUGAAGAACGUAGCGAAAUGCGAUACUUGGUGUGAAUUGCAGAAUCCCGUGAACCAUCGAGUCUUUGAACGCAAGUUGCGCCCGAGACCUCUUGGUCGAGGGCACGCCUGCCUGGGCGUCAAGCCUCGCGUCGCUCCGUGCGCCCACAUCGGGUAGAUGGAAGCGGAGAUUGGCCCACCGUGCCUUUAUAGGCGCGGCGGGUUGAAGUAAGGGAUGCCGUUGGGGCGCAGGGACACGACGAGUGGUGGAUGGAAGAAUCCUUUCCGAGGCCGAUGUCGUUCCCUCCACGGCAUUUCGGUCCCCUCGCGUUGCGACCCCAGGUCAGGCGGG
RNAcentral lists this ribosomal RNA (566 nucleotides) under Dictyostega orobanchoides. RNAcentral describes it as "eukaryotic LSU rRNA". The stretch from base 202 to 357 matches the Rfam family "5.8S ribosomal RNA". The record is from RNAcentral. Lineage: Eukaryota; Viridiplantae; Streptophyta; Magnoliopsida; Dioscoreales; Burmanniaceae.